Small nuclear RNA from Toxorhynchites rutilus septentrionalis, 139 nucleotides. RefSeq annotates it as U4 spliceosomal RNA. NCBI's taxonomy places the organism in Eukaryota, Metazoa, Arthropoda, Insecta, Diptera, Culicidae. The record is from RefSeq and is a predicted model, not a curated record. The transcript has a single exon.
AGCUUUGCGCAGUGGCGAUAUCGUAACCAAUGAGGUUUUACCGAGGUGCGAUUAUUGCUAGUUGAAAAAAAAUGAAAAUAUUCCGAAGAAAAUUAGGUAAGAAAUAAACGUUGAAUUUCCAUUAUCCACAAGUAAGUUG